RNAcentral lists this ribosomal RNA (328 nucleotides) under uncultured eukaryote. Its description in RNAcentral is "partial 18S ribosomal RNA". It matches the Rfam family "Eukaryotic small subunit ribosomal RNA", at positions 1470 to 1796 of the family's 1831-position model. The record is from RNAcentral.
CCCUUAGAUGUCCUGGGCCGCACGCGCGUUACACUGAUGCAUUCAACGAGCUUAUAACCUUGGCCGAGAGGCCUGGGCAAUCUUGUUAACGUGCAUCGUGAUAGGGAUAGAUUAUUGAAAUUAUUAAUCUUGAACGAGGAAUUCCUGGUAAACGCAGAUCAUCAAUCUGCAUUGAUUACGUCCCUGCCCUUUGUACACACCGCCCGUCGCACCUACCGAUUGGAUGGUCCGGUGAAGCCUCGGGAUUGUGGUUCUUGCCGCUUUAUUGUGGCGUGACCGCGAGAACUUGUCUAAACCUUAUCAUCUAGAGGAAGGUGAAGCCGUAACA